This 364-nucleotide ribosomal RNA is filed under the name Bacteroides finegoldii. RNAcentral describes it as "bacterial SSU rRNA". It matches the Rfam family "Bacterial small subunit ribosomal RNA", at positions 1167 to 1533 of the family's 1533-position model. Lineage: Bacteria; Pseudomonadati; Bacteroidota; Bacteroidia; Bacteroidales; Bacteroidaceae. The record is from RNAcentral.
AGGAAGGUGGGGAUGACGUCAAAUCAGCACGGCCCUUACGUCCGGGGCUACACACGUGUUACAAUGGGGGGUACAGAGGGCCGCUACCACGCGAGUGGAUGCCAAUCCCAAAAACCUCUCUCAGUUCGGACUGGAGUCUGCAACCCGACUCCACGAAGCUGGAUUCGCUAGUAAUCGCGCAUCAGCCACGGCGCGGUGAAUACGUUCCCGGGCCUUGUACACACCGCCCGUCAAGCCAUGGGAGCCGGGGGUACCUGAAGUGCGUAACCGCGAGGAGCGCCCUAGGGUAAAACUGGUGACUGGGGCUAAGUCGUAACAAGGUAGCCGUACCGGAAGGUGCGGCUGGAACACCUCCUUUCUGGAG